RNAcentral lists this ribosomal RNA (194 nucleotides) under uncultured bacterium. RNAcentral's name for it is "partial 16S ribosomal RNA". It matches the Rfam family "Bacterial small subunit ribosomal RNA", at positions 1307 to 1500 of the family's 1533-position model. The record is from RNAcentral.
GCAACUCGACUGCGUGAAGUCGGAAUCGCUGGUAAUCGCGGAUCAGCAUGCCGCGGUGAAUACGUUCCCGGGCCUUGUACACACCGCCCGUCACACCAUGAGAGUCGGGAACACCCGAAGCCCGUAGCCUAACAGCAAUGAGGGCGCGGUCGAAGGUGGGUUCGAUAAUUGGGGUGAAGUCGUAACAAGGUAUC